GACCUAAUGGUCAGGGGUCCCUUUACCUUUACCUUUAGGAACAGGAUGGUGAUAAAACGAAGGGCUGUAGGUCAGUGGCAGGGAGCCGAUAUGUGCAAGGGUGGAAUGGGGUGUUUCAAUAGCACACCAUUGCACACCCAGAACGUACCCCCCCACACACAAAUUGUGGGUUGCCAGUAUGCAGAAGACCCCAGGUUGAACCCCUGGGAUCUCCAGGUGGGACGAGGAGGGCCCACUGGUCUGCCUUGGUAUAAAGCAGCUUCCUAUGAUACUCUUACACACCACCGCAAUCUCAAUGAGAUUCCAGAGGUUGCAGGCAUGCUUCAACUCAGGGCCUGUGAUUCCUUUUUGGGAAUAAGGCACAGCAGAGACUGUGGUGUCUUUACGAUAUAUGGUUUAUUUGCACAUAUCUGAGCCGACUGUGAAGAGCUCUCUUUCCCUCCUAGCUGCCAUGUUGGAGCCAAAGCUGCCAGCCCACUUUCUGCUCUCACCCCCCCACUUCCUCCUUACCAAACUGCUUGC
Podarcis lilfordi (Lilford's wall lizard) is the source of this 522-nucleotide non-coding RNA. Lineage: Eukaryota; Metazoa; Chordata; Lepidosauria; Squamata; Lacertidae. The record is from the annotation of a GenBank genome assembly.